UCUUAAUUAAUUGUAUGAAAUAAUUUUAAGUGUAAACUUUAGAGUUUAAACUGUUACUUAAUAAGUUUCUACAUAUUUAAAGCUGACUUCUACAGUUGCGGUGCUGUGGGUCAUGAGUAGUUGAUGCUGGAGUGAGUGAGGACCAUAGACUGUAGGACGAGGACGUCCCGUCUGGUGAAUGAAGUUCCUCCGUCCUUGUGAAGAGACAGAAGUGAGGGAAGCGACAUGUUAGCGUAAUGAAAAGCAGCGUAUGACGGCAGCAACCUCCUCAACAGCAACUGUACUAUGUUCCCCGUCAGGUAGAACAUGUGUGCCUCAGGUCACACUGGUGAUGCUCAACAUACUAUGAAGUGAUGAUUAUGAGGUAGAAAUGUAUCACUGUGGUUUUUAGUACCAUGGCUGAUCUGCAUAACAGCUACAGUUCAUAUGGCUGUAAGAAGUGAUGGAGGUAAAUAACACUGACAGCUCUGUCUGCUGUACAGUUUGAUGUGAAUGUUUGGAUUGUUACGUGUGUCGUCAUCUUGGUGUUUAUUAUUGCUGUUAUAAUAACAGGCAAUAAUUUCAAAUAUCAUUUUCAUGUUGAUGUUUCACAGUCAGGAACAUCUGAGAUGUUAUUUGAUAGUUGAGAUGAGACAGCUGAGUGUGAUUCUACGCUGCUGAAUAAAACUGCUGUGACUUUAAAUUGAUUCCAAAAUGAAGUCUGUUUGUGAACUAAAAGAACAAGUUUACUGCCAACAGAACACACACACACACACACACACACACACACACACACACACACACACACACACACACACACACACCAGAGGGAGAAUCAUAGUGCUCUGAUGUCAUCAGGUGGGGACAAUGAUAUAAUAUGAUGAGAUUUGUUGAAAGAUUCUAUGUUUUAUUCUGUUGGAAUAAAACUGCUAUAAUUCAACAUGUGAUGCUGUAAGUGAUGUUGGUGUUUAAGUCUUGUUCCAUGUGCCUCUUUUUAACGUUGAACAGCUGCCCCUCUACAGGUCUCUGCCCUGGAUAUGAGACUGAACGGCAGCCAGUAGCUAACGUUAGCUAUCUGGAUAACUGCUCCUUCCUACAACAUGCUCUCAGGAAACAUCUGCAGAAGCCUCCAGCUGCUGGAGAAGGAACAUCUGAUCUCCCAUCUACAGCAGGUAAUGCAGUUAUGUUGUUUUCAGCUUCCUGCUGCCUGCAGAGUUUAGAGACCUUCACUGCUGCAGUUUGAUCAACAACUUUACUGCCUUGUAUCAGAGCUGAAAUGAGUUUAAAGAGUCAAACACUUACUGUCUGCUGAGACACAGGAGAGGAUGAGGAGCAGC
This is a long non-coding RNA of Thunnus maccoyii (southern bluefin tuna), 1316 nucleotides long. RefSeq lists it as uncharacterized. The transcript has 4 exons. NCBI's taxonomy places the organism in Eukaryota, Metazoa, Chordata, Actinopteri, Scombriformes, Scombridae. The record is from RefSeq and is a predicted model, not a curated record.